UCAGUUAAAGAGAGUCCUUUCUUUCCUUAUUUUUAUUGCUAUAAUUAAUUAAUAUACUAAUACUAUUAAUUACAUUCCCUCCAAGGAGCUCAAGGUGGUUUCUAUCUUCUCCUCCUCACCCACAGCGAGCUGCAUUUCUGAGUGAGGGAUUUGAACCCUGGUCUCUCCCCAGGUCACAGCCAGAUCCUUGAUCCACAGUGGUUCUCGUCUUUAUAAAAAGCCUCCACCUAAAGGAGCAAUGGGUUUGUUGCCUGGGAUCCUGUAAGGCAGGGAAGUGAUUUUGCCGCAAUGGACCCGUGUGUGAAUCCAGUCCCAGCAAAACAUCUUUGGGUGUCAUUGCAAAGCCCCCUAGACUCUCCCACUCGGUCUGAGUUAAUUCCAUAACAAUCCGAAGUAACAAUCUGGGUGACAAUCUGUCCACAAGCAGCAGGACUGAGAGCCCUCCGUGAACUCAUUCUCUCUCUCUCUCUGCCCCACUUUUAGCAAAUACAGAUCUUUGGGAAUAUCCAGUACCUCCUUCAAGAUCACCCUAGUCGUGUGCCUAACAAAUAAGCAGAUCACUGUGUUAUGGGGUUUGGGUUUGGGGCAGCUGCUACAAGGAAGGUGCACAGUCAGAUGUGAAACACGCCAAUUCCCUCUUGAGCUGAAGGGAGCCUGAAUUUGACUUACCCCAACCUGAAUGAGCAAGGGACACAGGUGGCGCUGUGGGUUAAACCACUGAGCCUCUUGGGCUUGCCGAUCAGAAGGUUGGCGGUUCAAAUUCCUGCGACGGGGUGAGCUCCUGUUGCUCGAAAGCACGUCAAAGUGCAAGUAGAUAAAUAGGUCCCACUCCUGUGGGAAGGUAAACGGCGUUUCCGUGCGCUGCUCUGGUUCGACCAGAAGCGGCUUAGUCAUGCUGGCCACAUGAUCCGGAAGCUGUACGCCGGCUCCCUCGGCCAAUAAAGGGAAGGGCAACCUUUCUAAACUCUUCACUUUCUCCAUGCCAUCUCUUCCUCCCCACAGUGAGCCUGACCCACGCCUACCCCAAGCUGGCCCCCAACCGACCCCCCAGGUGGCUCCUCUCCCCACCGCUCCUGCUCUCCAUCAUCCUCAAUGUCCUCUUCACCCUCACCGUCCAGGUCUUCGCCUUCCUGUAUGUGAAGCAGCAGCCCUGGUACUCUGUCCUGCGCAGCCACAGGGGGUGCCCUACUGCAGACCACCCUGUGUCCCUGGGCAACGGGAUGGCCAGCAACGCCACAGCCCCGGAGCACUCCAUCCUGAGCUAUGAGGACACCACCCUCUGGCCACUGGUCACCGUCAACUGCAUCAUCGCAGCCUUUGUCUUCUCCAAGUGGAAACCCUUCCGGAAGCCCAUCUACACCAACUAUAUCUUCUCUGGCCUGCUGUGUGUCCAGCUCAGAGUUUCCCUUUUCCUUUUC
Podarcis raffonei (Aeolian wall lizard) is the source of this 1418-nucleotide long non-coding RNA. RefSeq lists it as uncharacterized. Lineage: Eukaryota; Metazoa; Chordata; Lepidosauria; Squamata; Lacertidae. The record is from RefSeq and is a predicted model, not a curated record. The transcript is spliced from 3 exons.